Molecule: ribosomal RNA, 460 nt
Filed under: uncultured bacterium
Lineage: Bacteria
Description: partial 16S ribosomal RNA
Rfam family: Bacterial small subunit ribosomal RNA
Source: RNAcentral
CCUACGGGCGGCAGCAGUGAGGAAUAUUGGUCAAUGGGCGCAAGCCUGAACCAGCCAAGUCGCGUGAGGGAUGACGGUCCUAUGGAUUGUAAACCUCUUUUGUCGGGGAGCAAGGCCCGCCACGUGUGGCGGGAAGGAGAGUACCCGCAGAAAAAGCAUCGGCUAACUCCGUGCCAGCAGACGCGGUAAUACGGAGGAUGCGAGCGGUAUCCGGAUUUAUUGGGUUUAAGGGGUGCGUAGGCGGAAGGUUAAGUCAGCGGUCAAAUGGCGGUGCUCAACACCGGCCUGCCGUUGAAACUGGUCGUCUUGAGUGAGCGAGAAGUAGGCGGAAUGCGUGGUGUAGCGGUGAAAUGCAUAGAUAUCACGCAGAACUCCGAUUGCGAAGGCAGCAUACCGGCGCGCAACUGACGCUGAGGCACGAAAGCGUGGGGAUCGAACAGGAUUAGAUACCCGAGUAGUC